Molecule: non-coding RNA, 137 nt
Organism: Chelonoidis abingdonii (Abingdon island giant tortoise)
Lineage: Eukaryota; Metazoa; Chordata; Testudines; Testudinidae
Source: RefSeq, a predicted model, not a curated record
AGCUCAAUUUAGGAGUGACAUUCAGUGGCAGAAGCCAGGAAAGAAUUAAGUGAGAGUCAAGAGCGGAGGCAGGAGACGAUGCUGAGACUAAUGGGGGAGCAAACGGACAUGAUGAAAUGUCUUUUGGAGCUUCAGGA